CUGCGUUUGAACAGUAAACUCUGCAGCUUUCCGCGGGACGGAUCGCAGGAGAGGCCGACAGAACGUCUCAGUCCUCUUGUCUCAUGGCGAGGUCCAAGGUGUGGACCGGGAGGAGGACCAGCAGCAAUGUGUGCAGAUUUGGCGGUGACAAGACUGAGAAUGCCAGAGCCUCUCUCCAUGAGUCGGGUGGACACACUCGGAUCCGGUCUACUGCUCCCAGUGACACUGUGGACCGAUGGAAUGGUUCGCUGCUGGCCGGUGCCAUUGUACUGCCACUGAAAAUAGAGGACGACCACUGUAUUAGAAGAAUCCUCAAACCCAUGACCAGGACUGUAGUCAAGACCAAGUGGCUGGAGUCCAAAAGUCAAGACCAAGACCAAAGGCAGUCGAGACCAAGGCCAGAGAAGAAUCCAGCCCUGUUCCAGACUAUAAGAGGAAAUACGUGUUAAUAUGCUGUUGAGUUAGAUGGACAUAAUCAAUGAUUUUAAUGUCAAUAUUAAUCGUCUAACAUCAAAGUAAUAAAUACAUAGAAUUGAGGUUUGAGGACCAUUGUACUCAUGUUGCAUUCUCU
This is a long non-coding RNA of Gasterosteus aculeatus aculeatus (three-spined stickleback), 571 nucleotides long. NCBI's taxonomy places the organism in Eukaryota, Metazoa, Chordata, Actinopteri, Perciformes, Gasterosteidae. The record is from Ensembl.